UCUCAUCCCUGGUCCCCCGUGCUGACGGUGUCAUCACAGCGUGAACACAGCGAACCACACCGGAGUCAACGGCGCCCUCCUCCCUCUCCUCUGCGCCCGCCGAUGCGGGCCGCGUCUUCGUGUCCUCGGCCAUGCUGCGAGCGGCAGCGAUGCGGUUGGCGUCAGCGCCGACGGAGUUCCCGUCUUCUCCCCUGCAUCGCGAGCGUAGUGCCAGCCUGCCUACGUCGGGGUUGCUCGCCACAUGGCCGACCCGGAGGUGGAGACGCUGCGACCAGCUUCAUCACCAAGCUGCAUCCCUGAACCUCCAUAGCGAGCGCUGUAAAUCAGUCUUUUCUUCUUAUGUAUUCCCCACUCUCCUGCGUCAAUUGGCAGCCAAUUAGAUCGAUCUGUCCCUUUAUGCAAUCUUUUCUCUCUAAAAUUAUAUAGGAAAAAAGGAAAGAGAUCUCAUUAUGCUAGCUUUCCUUCUCCAACACGUACUUAAUCUCCAUCAAAUCUCUAAUCUUCCAAACUGAAUAUUUUUUCUAUGCAGAUUCAUGUAUAACCAUCUCUCUGGAAUUCUGGAGUGGCCCGCGGACGAGCAGGAGCAGCUGUCUCACGUCUCGAGCUUCUAUUGCGGACCAUCCGCAGAAGACGCAUAUAUAGAUCCAAUUGCCAGCGUAUAUCCUUUUUGCAAGUCAUGGGUAUCUGCAUGCGUCCCUCCCAAUUACAAUCAGAAUUUCUAUAAGACAUAGAGGUGAUGGCUCCAGAAAUCAGGCGAUUCAGACAAAGAUGUCGGUGACAGAUGGAGGCUUCCAACAUCUCGCCAAAACAAACUGCCGAGUGCCUACUGCCUAACGAAGUAAGUUGGGAAUCAAAUUUGUAAGAUGGUGAGUGGACGUAUUACCUUAUCUUUCAAAUUCUAAUGUGCGUAUUCAUUCCCUACACCUAUAAUUACUUGGCCUACCACUUGCAAGCUGAAUGUGCUUUCCAAUUCAAACCCAUGUGUGACAUAAUAACCAUAAAAAGUUCGAUUUGCUAAACAUCUUCAUUUGUUUUAGCUACGCUCACUGUACAUUUACCAAUGGUUUAGAUGAUAGUUAGUUCAGAACAGUCUCAGUGUUCGAAAUUGAUUCAUUGUUUGCAGUUUUUAGGAUACAAUAUUUUGAACGCAACAGUUUUAGUUCUGCUUUCUCCCAUAUUAGACUCUUUGAUUUAAUUAGUUAGCUCCUGCUGCGCUGAUAUAUUAGGGUUCAGAUUCUGUAGAUGUCUACAGGUUGUCGGACAAGUCUUUCAGACAUUCAUCUAAUCCCCAGGUUCACAAAAACUUCGGGUCCCUUGCAAUUGGUUUUGUAUGUUAUUUCUUCCGAGUAAACACAAACAUUUAGAUUAUCCACAUCAUGGUAGCAUGCUGUGUGUGCGAGCGCGCGCUUAUCUAAUACUUUAGAGCAGGAACUUCAAGAAAUAUAUUAGCAAACUUAAUUACCAUACUAUUUGUACGUAGAUUGAAAAUAGGAUGCAUAAUAUUUAUCUAGAAUUCAAAAUGAUCUUAAUUUCCUACAAUUUCAGUAUGGUCGCGUUGUUUCACAUUUUAACUGCUCCUGCUAUUGCAAGCUAGACUUGAAUUUUGGCUUCUAUAGAUAUGCAGAAUUGAUUCACCUCUCCAUAGGUUUCUACCUCUCUUAAUUCCUCUUCCUAUUGCCACAUAACUACAUUAUUUCUUUGGGGGAAAAUCAACAUAUAGAUACGUUGUCUUUGUACUGAUUCUUCCAUUGAUUUUAUAUACCAUUCCUGCUAUGCACAUGUUCUUCUAUUUUCUUUUGGACCGAUUCUUUCAUUUUGGUUUUCUUCCUAUGCUUGGUUAAUUAACUAGAAUACACUAAUUAGGAAUUACCCAGUCUUCUGCUACAUGUUCACUUGCAUAGAUGGCUUAAUACAUAAGCUAAACCGAUGACUACAUAUAGCACAUACAUUGGGUCAUUUCUCCUAAGAAGGUUAAGCCACCUGAACUUUUAGCUUUAGUUACAAAGAAGUUGCUGAAUGAUCUAACAUUUUUGGGUUCUUACUAAAUCUAAUUAUAAAACAUGUACCAAUGUCAUAAUAAUAUUUUUAUUUUAGAGCUUAAGAUAUACCUUUCAGUUUCAUAUCAUAUUCUUGUAAUGUACUCUCUCUGUAUCAAAAUAAAAGACGUUGGAUUAUUGGUUUCCGCAGGUUUCAGUUUCAUACCAUAUUUUUGUGAGUCACAGCUUAAAAAAACAACUAUGUGCUAGCUAAGGACAUGAACUUAACUGAAACUAUUGAUUGAGUCACAACUUAAAUCAAGAAGCUUUUAUUGCAUGUACUUGUGCUUAUACUUUAGAUAUUUACUUGUGAAACUGUUCUGAUCCCCCAGUUAGAUGCUUGCUGACACACAAUGUUUUUGAGUCGAUGAGUCGACGGGUCGCUCAGAGGGGGCGACUCUAGACUAGUCGUGACUAGUCUAGACUCACGGUCGACGAGUCGACAUGGCGACGAGUCGACGUGAGUUAAGCAGCGGGCAGUCAGGGGAGGAGCACAAGUGCACAGCAGCAACAGCAACCAGGGGAGGAGGGGAGGAGCACACCACCAGCAGCAGUAACUAGGGCCAACUGAGAGAUGGGCCACUAGUUAUGCACUUCCCUGUGGCCCAAAAGCCCAUCUAGUAGCUAUAUACUCCUCUCGUGACCUAAUCCACCAUCCACACUCCCUCCUCCCUCACCACAGCCGCCACACAUUCUGCUGCCACUCUCUUGCCACCAGUCCACCACUCCUCCUAGCUAUGGAUCUCUUAACUCCCCGCAGCAGCUCCUCACUGCUCCUCCUCCCAGCCUGCUCCUCUUGCCGCUGCAGCUUCAACAGCAGCAGCAGCGGCGGCGGCCAGCGCUGCAGUGGGGACGCAGAAGAAGCAGCAGCAACAGCAGCAUCAGCAGCAUGGCGGUGGGAGAGUGCUCCAGAUCCAGCGCUGCCUCGAGUCGUUCGACCCAAAAUCCACGACUAGUCGUGACUAGUCGAGACUAGUUGCGCGAGUCGCUCGACUCAUCCCAUGAGUCGAGUCGAGAGGCUGAGUCGGCCCUGGAACUGCGACUCGUCGACUAGUCGACGACUAGUCGCGACUAGUCGAGCGACUCGAAAUCCAUGCUGACACAGUAUCACUCCAGUUAGUCUAGCGAUAUGUCUUUUUAACAAUGGGGCUGGAAUAAUUGUGUGGCGUAUGUUAUGUUGGACUCAUGAACUAGAAUUGAUUUUUUUAUUUCUUGAUUGUAGGAUCCAAAGAACUAGCUCGAUUGGACUCUAGAUCACGGACAAUUUAGUCUUGGUACUUAAUUAGGAUGGCUAAAUUACAUUUGAGUUUCAUUUGAUGGAUUUUUGCUAUGAGAAUUAUGAAUUCUAUGAAUCUACAUAUUAUACAUAUGGUUUUGAAUAUUGUAAUUGAAUGCCUGUAUUUUUUUACGGUUGCAAUAGGCUAUUACAACAACCCACUUUCGGUUGUCACAUGUUAGCACCAUGAAAAGUUAAAAUUGUUGCAAUAGUUUUUGGCUACAAACAUUUCACCCGUUGUGAUACCUAUUUAUUACCACCGAAACUAGUAUGUUGCAAUUUCCUGUUACGACGACUGGAAUAUUUGUUGCCAUAAGUUAAUGCCACAAGUGCAGCGGUUCGUAGCAAAAUGCCUAAUGCCACGAAAACAAGGAUUGUUGCCAUAGUUUAUUGCCACAAUUGACUAUCGCCACGGAAGAGUAUGCACCACGAAAUGAACGUCAUUGGCAUAGGUUGUUG
Molecule: long non-coding RNA, 3771 nt
Filed under: Triticum aestivum (bread wheat)
Lineage: Eukaryota; Viridiplantae; Streptophyta; Magnoliopsida; Poales; Poaceae
Description: long non-coding RNA (TAES_LNC019842)
Source: RNAcentral